UAUCGUCCAAAAUGACAUAAUUAUCUUAUUUCUUUCAUUUAUGAUAUAAUUAGCUUAGUUAGGUCAAAAAUAGCACGAGAACCUAGGUUAGCUCUUAAAUGUCAUAUACUUAUCUUAUCUUCCUCCAAAAUGACAUAACAAGCUCAAAAUAAGAUAAGUAUUGUAAUCAUAUUAUCCUUCUUCUCCUCCUUCUUCUUGUUCUCCUCCUCCUUCUUCUUCUCC
RNAcentral lists this long non-coding RNA (222 nucleotides) under Hordeum vulgare. RNAcentral describes it as "long non-coding RNA (HVUL_LNC009378)". The record is from RNAcentral. Lineage: Eukaryota; Viridiplantae; Streptophyta; Magnoliopsida; Poales; Poaceae.